UUGCAUCAAAAACUUUUGUUCAGAUCAAGCCAAUAUAGCAUCUAGCUGUCAAACAAACUGACUUCCUAAGUAAAAGUGGCUUACUGUGGCGAAUAUUCGUAUUAUAAUCUGUAGCAGGGGAUUUCAUUGGUCACACCAGCUCUAUAGAAAUCUUUAAAAGUCUGAAUCACGCUUGUUUAGCUGCUAUUUCUAGCAAAAGUUACUUCCGUUGUCCAUCGCAUUCGUGAUUGUCGGGUUCCGUUUUAAAAACUAGCAAUUAUUACGAUCCAUCUUACAAUGAUUACUAAAAUUGCGGUUAUAUGUGCUGUAUUCCUGCUUCUUGCGGGCGUGGAAUGCCAACAGCAGGAUAUUUUUGGCGGUCUCUCUGGUUUGAUAAACCUCGCUAAGAGUUCUACUGACAUGCUGCAAAAGAAAGCGGAUUUAAUUAACCAAGCGUCCCAAACUGCUCAGAACUUUGAAAAGUUGUUGAAAAGUUUUUAUAAUUGAAACUAAUAAAGUUGUAUUCGUUGUGUAUUUGUAAAAGGUAUUUUUAAAAGAAAUUAACAAUAAAUCCGUAAAUGUAUGGGAAAUUUCGAGAACAGUUA
This is a long non-coding RNA of Bactrocera dorsalis (oriental fruit fly), 584 nucleotides long. RefSeq lists it as uncharacterized. The transcript is spliced from 3 exons. The record is from RefSeq and is a predicted model, not a curated record. NCBI's taxonomy places the organism in Eukaryota, Metazoa, Arthropoda, Insecta, Diptera, Tephritidae.